UACAGGUAGCACGAGUGGUGUCCACGUAUAUUGAGUCUAAAGCGUCCGUAGCCGGAUUGGCAAAUCUUCUGUGAAAUCCUACAGCUCAACUGAAGGACUUGCAGGGAGACUACCAGUCUAGGAAUGGGGAGUACUGGGUACUACAGGGGACGUAAAAUGUUGUAAUCCUUGUAGGACCACCAGUGGCGAAAGCGCAGUACCAAGGACACGUUCGACGGUGAGGGACGAAGGCUAGGGGAGCAAACC
This 246-nucleotide ribosomal RNA is filed under the name uncultured bacterium. RNAcentral describes it as "partial 16S ribosomal RNA". It matches the Rfam family "Archaeal small subunit ribosomal RNA", at positions 474 to 725 of the family's 1478-position model. The record is from RNAcentral.